UACCAGCACCCCGAGUGGUCGGGACGAUUAUUGGGCCUAAAGCAUCCGUAGCCGGUUCUGCAAGUCUUCCGUUAAAUCCACCUGCUCAACAGAUGGGCUGCGGAGGAUACUACAGGGCUAGGAGGCGGGAGAGGCAAGCGGUACUCGAUGGGUAGGGGUAAAAUCCGUUGAUCCAUUGAAGACCACCAGUGGCGAAGGCGGCUUGCCAGAGCGCGCUCGACGGUGAGGGAUGAAAGCUGGGGGAGCAAACCGG
RNAcentral lists this ribosomal RNA (253 nucleotides) under uncultured bacterium. Its description in RNAcentral is "partial 16S ribosomal RNA". It matches the Rfam family "Archaeal small subunit ribosomal RNA", at positions 474 to 727 of the family's 1478-position model. The record is from RNAcentral.